GACGAACGCUGGCGGCGUGCCUAAUACAUGCAAGUCGAGCGGAUGACGAGGAGCUUGCUCCUCUGAUUCAGCGGCGGACGGGUGAGUAACACGUGGGCAACCUGCCUGUAAGACUGGGAUAACUUCGGGAAACCGGAGCUAAUACCGGAUAACUCUUUGGAUCGCAUGAUCCAAAGAUAAAAGAUGGUUCUGCUAUCACUUACAGAUGGGCCCGCGGCGCAUUAGCUAGUUGGUGGGGUAACGGCUCACCAAGGCGACGAUGCGUAGCCGACCUGAGAGGGUGAUCGGCCACACUGGGACUGAGACACGGCCCAGACUCCUACGGGAGGCUG
This 332-nucleotide ribosomal RNA is filed under the name uncultured Bacillota bacterium. Its description in RNAcentral is "bacterial SSU rRNA". It matches the Rfam family "Bacterial small subunit ribosomal RNA", at positions 28 to 351 of the family's 1533-position model. Lineage: Bacteria; Bacillati; Bacillota. The record is from RNAcentral.